Molecule: ribosomal RNA, 483 nt
Filed under: uncultured bacterium
Lineage: Bacteria
Description: bacterial SSU rRNA
Rfam family: Bacterial small subunit ribosomal RNA
Source: RNAcentral
AUUGAACGCUGGCGGCAGGCCUAACACAUGCAAGUCGAGCGGUAACAUAGGUAGCUUGCUACCUGAUGACGAGCGGCGGACGGGUGAGUAAUGCUUGGGGAUCUGCCUUGAUGUGGGGGAUAACCAUUGGAAACGAUGGCUAAUACCGCAUAAUACCUACGGGUUAAAGAGGGCUUAGGCUCUUGCGUCGAGAUGAACCCAAGUGAGAUUAGCUAGUUGGUGAGGUAAAGGCUCACCAAGGCGACGAUCUCUAGCUGGUUUGAGAGGAUGAUCAGCCACACUGGGACUGAGACACGGCCCAGACUCCUACGGAGGCAGCAGUGGGGAAUAUUGCACAAUGGGCGAAAGCCUGAUGCAGCCAUGCCGCGUGUGUGAAGAAGGCCUUCGGGUUGUAAAGCACUUUCAGUUGUGAGGAAGGUUAUUGGUUAAUACCCAAUAACUGUGACGUUAACAACAGAAGAAGCACCGGCUAACUCCGUGCCA